This 497-nucleotide ribosomal RNA is filed under the name uncultured bacterium. RNAcentral's name for it is "partial 16S ribosomal RNA". It matches the Rfam family "Bacterial small subunit ribosomal RNA", at positions 28 to 507 of the family's 1533-position model. The record is from RNAcentral.
GACGAACGCUGGCGGCGUGCCUAAUACAUGCAAGUAGAACGCUGAAGAGAGGAGCUUACUCUUCUUGGAUGAGUUGCGAACGGGUGAGUAACGCGUAGGUAACCUGCCUUGUAGCGGGGGAUAACUAUUGGAAACGAUAGCUAAUACCGCAUAACAAUGGAUGACACAUGUCAUUUAUUUGAAAGGGGCAAUUGCUCCACUACAAGAUGGACCUGCGUUGUAUUAGCUAGUAGGUGAGGUAAUGGCUCACCUAGGCGACGAUACAUAGCCGACCUGAGAGGGUGAUCGGCCACACUGGGACUGAGACACGGCCCAGACUCCUACGGGGGGCAGCAGUAGGGAAUCUUCGGCAAUGGGGGCAACCCUGACCGAGCAACGCCGCGUGAGUGAAGAAGGUUUUCGGAUCGUAAAGCUCUGUUGUAAGUCAAGAACGGGUGUGAGAGUGGAAAGUUCACACUGUGACGGUAGCUUACCAGAAAGGGACGGCUAACUACGUG